RNAcentral lists this ribosomal RNA (253 nucleotides) under uncultured bacterium. RNAcentral's name for it is "partial 16S ribosomal RNA". It matches the Rfam family "Bacterial small subunit ribosomal RNA", at positions 524 to 776 of the family's 1533-position model. The record is from RNAcentral.
UACGUAGGGGGCAAGCGUUAUCCGGAUUUACUGGGUGUAAAGGGGGCGCAGACGGCGAUGCAAGCCAGGAGUGAAAGCCCGGGGCCCAACCCCGGGACUGCUCUUGGAACUGCGUGGCUGGAGUGCAGGAGGGGCAGGCGGAAUUCCUGGUGUAGCGGUGAAAUGCGUAGAUAUCAGGAGGAACACCGGUGGCGAAGGCGGCCUGCUGGACUGCAACUGACGUUGAGGCCCGAAAGCGUGCGGAGCAAACAGG